This 521-nucleotide ribosomal RNA is filed under the name uncultured bacterium. Its description in RNAcentral is "bacterial SSU rRNA". It matches the Rfam family "Bacterial small subunit ribosomal RNA", at positions 379 to 918 of the family's 1533-position model. The record is from RNAcentral.
UAGCGUGAUGCAGCCAUGCCGCGUGAGUGAUGAAGGUCUUAGGAUUGUAAAAUUCUUUCACCGGGGACGAUAAUGACGGGACCGGGAGAAGAAGCCCCGGCUAACUUCGUGCCAGCAGCCGCGGGAAUGCGAAGGGGGCUAGCGUUGCUCGGAAUUACUGGGCGUAAAGGGAGCGUAGGCGGACUGUUAAGUUAGAGGUGAAAGCCCAGGGCUCAACCUUGGAAUUGCCUUUGAUACUGGCAGUCUUGAGUACGGAAGAGGUAUGUGGAACUCCGAGUGUAGAGGUGAAAUUCGUAGAUAUUCGGAAGAACACCAGUGGCGAAGGCGACAUACUGGUCCGUUACUGACGCUGAGGCUCGAAAGCGUGGGGAGCAAACAGGAUUAGAUACCCUGGUAGUCCACGCCGUAAACGAUGAGUGCUAGUUGUCGGCAUGCAUGCAUGUCGGUGACGCAGCUAACGCAUUAAGCACUUCGCCUGGGGAGUACGGUCGCAAGAUUAAAACUCAAAUGAAUUGACGGAA